This 288-nucleotide signal recognition particle RNA is filed under the name Carlito syrichta (Philippine tarsier). Its description in RNAcentral is "Metazoan signal recognition particle RNA (ENSTSYG00000031382.1)". It matches the Rfam family "Metazoan signal recognition particle RNA". Rfam says of the family: The signal recognition particle (SRP) is a universally conserved ribonucleoprotein. It is involved in the co-translational targeting of proteins to membranes. The eukaryotic SRP consists of a 300-nucleotide 7S RNA and six proteins: SRPs 72, 68, 54, 19, 14, and 9. The record is from RNAcentral. Lineage: Eukaryota; Metazoa; Chordata; Mammalia; Primates; Tarsiidae.
GCCGGGUGUGGUACGUGCCUGUAGUCCUAGCUACUCAAGAGGCUAAGGCAGGAGAAUUGCUUGAGCCCAGGAGUUUUGGGUUGUCAUGUACUAUGCUAAUCAGGUGUCUGCACUAAUAUGGCAUCAAUAUGGUAACCUCUCAGGAGUGAAGGACCAUAACGUUGCCUAAGGAGGGUGAAGUGGCCCAGGUUGAAAGCAGAGCAGGUCAAAACUCCUGUGCUGAUCCGUAGUGGGACUGCACUUGUGAAUAGCCACUGUACUUCAGCCAGGGCAAUAUAGUGAAAACCC